This 24-nucleotide non-coding RNA is filed under the name Arabidopsis thaliana (thale cress). Lineage: Eukaryota; Viridiplantae; Streptophyta; Magnoliopsida; Brassicales; Brassicaceae. The record is from RNAcentral.
GAUGCGGAACGUUGAACCCACACA